This 482-nucleotide ribosomal RNA is filed under the name uncultured bacterium. Its description in RNAcentral is "bacterial SSU rRNA". It matches the Rfam family "Bacterial small subunit ribosomal RNA", at positions 15 to 518 of the family's 1533-position model. The record is from RNAcentral.
GAUCCUGGCUUAGGACGAACGCUGGCGGCGUGCUUCAUACAUGCAAGUCGAACGAGAAUCUAACUUCGGUUAGAGGAAAGUGGCGGACGGGUGAGUAAUGUGUAGAGAAUCUGCCCUUUAGUGGGGGACAACAGUUGGAAACGACUGCUAAUACCCCAUAUGCGCGUACUUGAGAUAGUAUUCGUGAAAACUCCGGUGCUAAAGGAUGAGUCUGCAUCUGAUUAGCUAGUUGGCGGUGUAAUGGACCACCAAGGCGACGAUCAGUAGCUGGUUUGAGAGGAUGAUCAGCCACAAUGGGACUGAGACACGGCCCAUACUCCUACGGGAGGCAGCAGUAGGGAAUUUUGCGCAAUGGGGGAAACCCUGACGCAGCAACGCCGCGUGAUUGAAUAAGCCCUUCGGGGUGUAAAGAUCUGUCAGUGGGGACGAAACUUGACGGUACCCACAGAGGAAGCAUCGGCUAACUCCGUGCCAGCCGCUGC